Molecule: ribosomal RNA, 444 nt
Filed under: uncultured bacterium
Lineage: Bacteria
Description: partial 16S ribosomal RNA
Rfam family: Bacterial small subunit ribosomal RNA
Source: RNAcentral
GUGGGGAAUUUUGGACAAUGGGCGCAAGCCUGAUCCAGCAAUGCCGCGUGCAGGAAGAAGGCCUUCGGGUUGUAAACUGCUUUUAACCGGGAAGAAACCCCAGGACGUGUCCUGGGUUGACGGUACCGGAGGAAUAAGCACCGGCUAACUUCGUGCCAGCAGCCGCGGUAAUACGAAGGGUGCAAGCGUUAUCCGGAUUCAUUGGGUUUAAAGGGUGCGUAGGCGGAGCGUUAAGUCAGUGGUGAAAUCCUGCAGCUUAACGGUAGACUUGCCAUUGAUACUGGCGCUGUUGAGUGCGCUUGAAGUGGGCGGAAUGGGCCGUGUAGCGGUGAAAUACUUAGAUAUGGCACAGAACACCAAUUGCGAAGGCAGCUCACUAAGGCGAUACUGACGCUGAGGCACGAAAGCGUGGGGAUCGAACAGGAUUAGAUACCCGUGUAGUCC